This 538-nucleotide ribosomal RNA is filed under the name uncultured bacterium. RNAcentral's name for it is "partial 16S ribosomal RNA". It matches the Rfam family "Bacterial small subunit ribosomal RNA", at positions 355 to 902 of the family's 1533-position model. The record is from RNAcentral.
UGGGGAAUAUUGGACAAUGGGCGGAAGCCUGAUCCAGCAACGCCGCGUGAGGGAUGACGGCCUUCGGGUUGUAAACCUCUUUCAGUACCGACGAAGCGAAAGUGACGGUAGGUACAGAAGAAGGACCGGCCAACUACGUGCCAGCAGCCGCGGUAAUACGUAGGGUCCGAGCGUUGUCCGGAAUUAUUGGGCGUAAAGGGCUCGUAGGCGGUUUGUCGCGUCGGGAGUGAAAACAGCGGGCUUAACUCGUUGCUUGCUUUCGAUACGGGCAGACUAGAGGUAUGCAGGGGAGAAUGGAAUUCCUGGUGUAGCGGUGAAAUGCGCAGAUAUCAGGAGGAACACCGGUGGCGAAGGCGGUUCUCUGGGCAUUACCUGACGCUGAGGAGCGAAAGUGUGGGGAGCGAACAGGAUUAGAUACCCUGGUAGUCCACACCGUAAACGUUGGGCGCUAGGUGUGGGGUCCUUUCCACGGAUUCCGUGCCGUAGCUAACGCAUUUAAGCGCCCCGCCUGGGGAGUACGGCCGCAAGGCUAAAACUC